UCCAAACUGUCAUCAAGUAUUCUAAUCCAGUCAAAGGAGAUACAACUAGAACAACCUAUGUAACUUGCUGAAGGCUUAUCAAAAGAGUUGUAAAUAAGGAAAAAAAAAAAAACCUAUCAACUGCAUAACCACAGAUUUCUGCCAGCUUGCCUGUGGCUUUGAAAUUCAAUCCCAUUUCUCUAGUCUGACAAACUGUACUAAAUGGUGAAAUGGAUUUUUAUUGCUUUCAGCCAUUUUCAUUCCAGCUGCUAUCACUAGCAUUUGGAUCCACGUAGUGCUGCUAAUUGAGCACCAGACCCCCUAAAACUGAGGUGACUGUGAAUCCUGAUUGCAUGGAAGCACCAGCUGAGGAGUCCAGCACAGCUGCGACAGGUCUUCCUUGCUCCCUGCACUCCUUUCCCAUCACAGGUGUACGUUAUCGGAGCAGAGUCUGGUAGGAUACCUCUGUCACUAAUGCUAUUUGUGCUGACUAACGUGUACUUCCAGGUGAUGUGAGACACAUGGAGCUAAUUUCCUUUUUCUCCCCGCCCUGCACCCCAGCUGAUCAGAAAAAUCGUGAUUUCCCAGCAUGCUGAAAUUUCCUGUAGAAGGUGGGGAAUGCUCUUCCUGGUAGAGCCUCAUCAGCAGACUGCAAGCCAGGUGCUAGAGCGUUUGUGCCUCUUGAAGAUCUGGCCAGUGCACAGGUGUCUGCUGUACAGGUUACUGCAGUACUGGAGUGGCUCCUGAGGUCUGGUGGAUGAGUUCUCUGCUCUCCUGGCUCUUCAGCGUGGGAGCAGAAGCACGGAGGGAGAGCACAGGUGACCCAAAUAACAGAAGUAGUGGCUUUGNNNNNNNNNNNNNNNAAAAGAUGGGUUCCCCAAGAAGACUUGGUUGUGGAGAAACAGCUUCCACUUUAAGGCAUGCAGUAGUCUUCAGUGGAGAUGCACCUUGCUGGAGUUUUUCUAGACAAGCUCAAUAGCAGAACUCUUGCAAGUGGACCCAUCUCUAUCUUGUGUCAGCUGACGCAAAACCAGGAACGUCUAUACAAAAGGCAAGUCAGUUAUGCUACGUAAAAAGGUAAAAGGUGGUA
This 1069-nucleotide long non-coding RNA is filed under the name Struthio camelus australis. Its description in RNAcentral is "lncRNA (ENSSCUG00000011656.1)". Lineage: Eukaryota; Metazoa; Chordata; Aves; Struthioniformes; Struthionidae. The record is from RNAcentral.